UGAAAUGGGGACAGUUGUGGA
RNAcentral lists this unclassified non-coding RNA (21 nucleotides) under Mus musculus (house mouse). RNAcentral's name for it is "oocyte_clustered_small_RNA2035". The record is from RNAcentral. Lineage: Eukaryota; Metazoa; Chordata; Mammalia; Rodentia; Muridae.